Molecule: ribosomal RNA, 507 nt
Filed under: Malassezia furfur
Lineage: Eukaryota; Fungi; Basidiomycota; Malasseziomycetes; Malasseziales; Malasseziaceae
Description: partial large subunit ribosomal RNA
Rfam family: Eukaryotic large subunit ribosomal RNA
Source: RNAcentral
UCAAAUUUGAAAGCUGGUACCUUCGGUAUCCGCGUUGUAACCUCGAGACACGUUUUCCGUGCGGCGCUAUGGACAAGUUCCUUGGAACAGGACAUCGUAGAGGGUGAAAAUCCCGUACUUGCCAUGGAUGUACCGUGCUUUGCGAUACGUGCUCUAAGAGUCGAGUUGUUUGGGAUUGCAGCUCAAAAUGGGUGGUAGACUCCAUCUAAAGCUAAAUAUCGGGGAGAGACCGAUAGCGAACAAGUACCGUGAGGGAAAGAUGAAAAGCACUUUGGAAAGAGAGUUAAAAGUACGUGAAAUUGUCGAAAGGGAAGCGCUUGAAGUCAGCCAUGCCGCUCAGGACUCAGCCUGGCUUUUGCUUGGUGUAUUUCCUGGGUAGCAAGUCAGCAUUGGUUUGGAUCGUCGGAGAAGCAUAGUCGGAAUGUGGCGCCCUCGGGCGUGUUAUAGCCUUCUAUUGGAUACGACGAUCUAGACCAAGGAACGCAGCGCGCCUUAUGGCGGGUCUUU